CCUACGGGAGGCAGCAGUGAGGAAUAUUGGUCAAUGGACGGAAGUCUGAACCAGCCAUGCCGCGUGCAGGAAGACGGCUCUAUGAGUUGUAAACUGCUUUUGUACAAGGGUAAACCUGAAUACGUGUAUUCAGCUGAACGUACUGUACGAAUAAGGAUCGGCUAACUCCGUGCCAGCAGCCGCGGUAAUACGGAGGAUCCAAGCGUUAUCCGGAUUUAUUGGGUUUAAAGGGUGCGUAGGCGGAUUGAUAAGUUAGAGGUGAAAUGUCCGAGCUUAACUCGGGAACUGCCUCUAAUACUGUUGGUCUAGAGAGUAGAUGCGGUAGGCGGAAUGUAUGGUGUAGCGGUGAAAUGCUUAGAGAUCAUACAGAACACCGAUUGCGAAGGCAGCUUACCAAUCUAUAUCUGACGUUGAGGCACGAAAGCGUGGGGAGCAAACAGGAUUAGAUACCCGGGUAGUC
This 460-nucleotide ribosomal RNA is filed under the name uncultured bacterium. Its description in RNAcentral is "partial 16S ribosomal RNA". It matches the Rfam family "Bacterial small subunit ribosomal RNA", at positions 338 to 795 of the family's 1533-position model. The record is from RNAcentral.